This 3045-nucleotide long non-coding RNA is filed under the name Citrus x clementina. RNAcentral describes it as "Citrus clementina (C. clementina) long non-coding RNA (CCLE_LNC004797)". The record is from RNAcentral. Lineage: Eukaryota; Viridiplantae; Streptophyta; Magnoliopsida; Sapindales; Rutaceae.
AGUCCGGCGGACGAACUUCGCCCACGCCCCCCACCAAGGCUAUAGCCCACCCGUUUUUUGGCCAUUUUUCCGCUGGGGGGUCUUGGCGCCCCGACCUUCAGGGGCUGAUUUUUGGGCGCGGGUGUGCCCGUGGCCUAUUUUUGGCAAACGGAGGCCGCCCGCAGAGUCUGGGGCCAUUCCGAGUCCGGCGGACGAGCUUCGCCCACGCCCCCCACCAAGGCUAUAGCCCACCCGUUUUUUGGCCAUUUUUCCGCUGGGGGGUCUUGGCGCCCCGACCUUCGGGGGCUGAUUUUUGGGCGCGGGUGUGCCCGUGGCCUAUUUUUGGCACACGGAGGCCGCCCGCAAAGUCUGGGGCCAUUCCGAGUCCGGCGGACGAACUUCGCCCACGCCCCCCACCAAGGCUAUAGCCCACCCGUUUUUUGGCCAUUUUUCCGCUGGGGGGUCUUGGCGCCCCGACCUUCGGGGGCUGAUUUUUGGGCGCGGGUGUGCCCGUGGCCUAUUUUUGGCAUACGGAGGCCGCCCGCAAAGUCUGGGGCCAUUCCGAGUCCGGCGGACGAACUUCGCCCACGCCCCCCACCAAGGCUAUAGCCCACCCGUUUUUUGGCCAUUUUUCCGCUGGGGGGUCUUGGCUCCCCGACCUUCGGGGGCUGAUUUUUGGGCGCGGGUGUGCCCGUGGCCUAUUUUUGGCACACGGAGGCCGCCCGCAAAGUCUGGGGCCAUUCCGAGUCCGGCGGACGAACUUCGCCCACGCCCCCCACCAAGGCUAUAGCCCACCCGUUUUUUGGCCAUUUUUCCGCUGGGGGGUCUUGGCGCCCCGACCUUCGGGGGCUGAAUUUUGGGCGCGGGUGUGCCCGUGGCCUAUUUUUGGCACACGGAGGCCGCCCGCAAAGUCUGGGGCCAUUCCGAGUCCGGCGGACGAACUUCGCCCACGCCCCCCACCAAGGCUAUAGCCCACCCGUUUUUUGGCCAUUUUUCCGCUGGGGGGACUUGGCUCCCCGACCUUCGGGGGCUGAUUUUUGGGCGCGGGUGUGCCCGUGGCCUAUUUUUGGCACACGGAGGCCGCCCGCAAAGUCUGGGGCCAUUCCGAGUCCGGCGGACGAACUUCGCCCACGCCCCCCACCAAGGCUAUAGCCCACCCGUUUUUUGGCCAUUUUUCCGCUGGGGGGUCUUGGCGCCCCGACCUUCGGGGGCUGAAUUUUGGGCGCGGGUGUGCCCGUGGCCUAUUUUUGGCACACGGAGGCCGCCCGCAAAGUCUGGGGCCAUUCCGAGUCCGGCGGACGAACUUCGCCCACGCCCCCCACCAAGGCUAUAGCCCACCCGUUUUUUGGCCAUUUUUCCGCUGGGGGGUCUUGGCGCCCCGACCUUCGGGGGCUGAAUUUUGGGCGCGGGUGUGCCCGUGGCCUAUUUUUGGCACACGGAGGCCGCCCGCAAAGUCUGGGGCCAUUCCGAGUCCGGCGGACGAACUUCGCCCACGCCCCCCACCAAGGCUAUAGCCCACCCGUUUUUUGGCCAUUUUUCCGCUGGGGGGUCUUGGCGCCCCGACCUUCGGGGGCUGAAUUUUGGGCGCGGGUGUGUCCGUGGCCUAUUUUUGGCACACGGAGGCCGCCCGCAAAGUCUGGGGCCAUUCCGAGUCCGGCGGACGAACUUCGCCCACGCCCCCCACCAAGGCUAUAGCCCACCCGUUUUUUGGCCAUUUUUCCGCUGGGGGGUCUUGGCGCCCCGACCUUCGGGGGCUGAAUUUUGGGCGCGGGUGUGCCCGUGGCCUAUUUUUGGCACACGGAGGCCGCCCGCAAAGUCUGGGGCCAUUCCGAGUCCGGCGGACGAGCUUCGCCCACACCCCCCACCAAGGCUAUAGCCCACCCGUUUUUUGGCCAUUUUUCCGCUGGGGGGUCUUGGCGCCCCGACCUUCGGGGGCUGAAUUUUGGGCGCGGGUGUGCCCGUGGCCUAUUUUUGGCACACGGAGGCCGCCCGCAAAGUCUGGGGCCAUUCCGAGUCCGGCGGACGAACUUCGCCCACGCCCCCCACCAAGGCUAUAGCCCACCCGUUUUUUGGCCAUUUUUCCGCUGGGGGGUCUUGGCGCCCCGACCUUCGGGGGCUGAUUUUUGGGCGCGGGUGUGCCCGUGGCCUAUUUUUGGCACACGGAGGCCGCCCGCAAAGUCUGGGGCCAUUCCGAGUCCGGCGGACGAACUUCGCCCACGCCCCCCACCAAGGCUAUAGCCCACCCGUUUUUUGGCCAUUUUUCCGCUGGGGGGUCUUGGCGCCCCGACCUUCGGGGGCUGAAUUUUGGGCGCGGGUGUGCCCGUGGCCUAUUUUUGGCACACGGAGGCCGCCCGCAAAGUCUGGGGCCAUUCCGAGUCCGGCGGACGAACUUCGCCCACGCCCCCCACCAAGGCUAUAGCCCACCCGUUUUUUGGCCAUUUUUCCGCUGGGGGGUCUUGGCGCCCCGACCUUCGGGGGCUGAAUUUUGGGCGCGGGUGUGCCCGUGGCCUAUUUUUGGCACACGGAGGCCGCCCGCAAAGUCUGGGGCCAUUCCGAGUCCGGCGGACGAACUUCGCCCACGCCCACCACCAAGGCUAUAGCCCACCCGUUUUUUGGCCAUUUUUCCGCUGGGGGGUCUUGGCGCCCCGACCUUCGGGGGCUGAAUUUUGGGCGCGGGUGUGCCCGUGGCCUAUUUUUGGCACACGGAGGCCGCCCGCAAAGUCUGGGGCCAUUCCGAGUCCGGCGGACGAGCUUCGCCCACGCCCCCCACCAAGGCUAUAGCCCACCCGUUUUUUGGCCAUUUUUCCGCUGGGGGGUCUUGGCGCCCCGACCUUCGGGGGCUUAAUUUUGGGCGCGGGUGUGCCCGUGGCCUAUUUUUGGCACACGGAGGGCGCCCGCAAAGUCUGGGGCCAUUCCGAGUCCGGCGGACGAACUUCGCCCACGUCCCCCACCAAGGCUAUAGCCCACCCAUUUUUUGGCCAUUUUUCCGCUGGGGGGUCUUGGCGCCCCGACCUUCGGGGGCUGAUUUUUGGGCGCGGGUGUGCCCGUGGCCUAUUUUUGGCACAC